AUAUACAUGGCUUGCACGAGAGCAAGCACCAACAAAUAAGUAAAAGUUCUACAACUAUCAUCACAUUUAUACAUGUAUCUUGAUUACAUGAAAUCAAAUACAAGCAUAUAUUAAUUUACAUUCACUUUCCUAAAAACUUAUGCCAUUUACAUCAUUUAUACAUUUCCAUCUCAUUACACCUUUCAUCAUAACCAAAAGAUGAAUAUACAUA
RNAcentral lists this long non-coding RNA (211 nucleotides) under Ananas comosus (pineapple). Its description in RNAcentral is "long non-coding RNA (ACOM_LNC014893)". Lineage: Eukaryota; Viridiplantae; Streptophyta; Magnoliopsida; Poales; Bromeliaceae. The record is from RNAcentral.